Chlorocebus sabaeus (green monkey) is the source of this 769-nucleotide long non-coding RNA. RefSeq lists it as uncharacterized. The record is from RefSeq and is a predicted model, not a curated record. NCBI's taxonomy places the organism in Eukaryota, Metazoa, Chordata, Mammalia, Primates, Cercopithecidae.
CACUAUGUUGCCCAAGCUGAUUUAGAACUCCUGACCUCAAGCAAUCCGCCUGCCUUGGCCUCCCAACGUGCUGGGAUUAUAGGCGGGAGUCACCGUGCCGGCCUGGCCCUGUGCAUUUCAUAGAUACGGUAACCGACAAACCUGGCCACAGCCACCCCUUCGUCCUAUAGAACUGGAAUUUGAACCCAGAGUCGUCCUUCACUACCGCCUCCGUUGUUUCUGGAAGCGCGCUCCAGGCAGGCUGGCCAGCAUUAUAGGGCCUCCCUGGGGGCCCCUUUGGGAACGCUGCUCCACAGAACCCUGCCUCUCAGGUCUUGGAGAUGUGGGCAGGAGAGAAGCAGCGUCCCUCAGAGCCAGGCCUGGCAAUGAUGCCAGUAGGGGCCGAGGCAAGCCCUCCACGUGCCCGCAGGUUUCUCAGCAGGGGAAGUCCACACCACGCCGCCUGGGAAUCUGGGUGCCUAACACAGCAGGAGCCGAGGCACAAAUUUAACCAGAUGCCAAGGUUGCGUGAGCCCCAGUUCGUGAGCCAGGCUCCAAGGACGUUUCCUUAGGUGGCUCUGGAAGGCCCAGCGCCAGCCCCCGUCCUCUGUUAAAGGGAACCAGCCUGAGCGCAACCCCAGAGUAGCAGGGGUACCUGAGGAGCGGGCUAUGCCCUGGCAGGAGGAGAGCCCAGGAUGGGGUCAGGGUCAGGCCCUGCUGGAGGCUGGAGGGCGCCCAAGGCGAGGCCGGUGAGGCCCAGCUCUACAAAUACAGCGUUUUAUUUACAGGA